CUACGUGCCAGCAGCCGCGGUAAUACGUAGGUGGCAAGCGUUGUCCGGAAUUAUUGGGCGUAAAGCGCGCGCAGGCGGAUCAGUCAGUCUGUCUUAAAAGUUCGGGGCUUAACCCCGUGAUGGGAUGGAAACUGCUGAUCUAGAGUAUCGGAGAGGAAAGUGGAAUUCCUAGUGUAGCGGUGAAAUGCGUAGAUAUUAGGAAGAACACCAGUGGCGAAGGCGACUUUCUGGACGAAAACUGACGCUGAGGCGCGAAAGCCAGGGGAGCGAACGGGAUUAGAUACCCCGGUAGUCCUGGCCGUAAACGAUGGGUACUAGGUGUGGGGGACAUUCCACGUUUUCCGCGCCGUAGCUAACGCAUUAAGUGCCCCGCCUGGGGAGUACGGCCGCAAGGCUAAAACUCAAAGAAAUUGACGGGGGCCCGCACAAGCGGCGGAGCAUGCGGAUUAAUUCGAAGCAACGCGAAGAACCUUACCAGGUCUUGACAUCCCUCUGACCGCUCUAGAGAUAGAGUUUUC
This 518-nucleotide ribosomal RNA is filed under the name uncultured bacterium. RNAcentral's name for it is "bacterial SSU rRNA". It matches the Rfam family "Bacterial small subunit ribosomal RNA", at positions 501 to 1016 of the family's 1533-position model. The record is from RNAcentral.